RNAcentral lists this ribosomal RNA (476 nucleotides) under uncultured Lactobacillus sp. RNAcentral describes it as "bacterial SSU rRNA". It matches the Rfam family "Bacterial small subunit ribosomal RNA", at positions 199 to 672 of the family's 1533-position model. Lineage: Bacteria; Bacillati; Bacillota; Bacilli; Lactobacillales; Lactobacillaceae. The record is from RNAcentral.
GGCGUAAGCUAUCGCUUUUGGAUGGACCCGCGGCGUAUUAGCUAGUUGGUGAGGUAACGGCUCACCAAGGCGAUGAUACGUAGCCGAACUGAGAGGUUGAUCGGCCACAUUGGGACUGAGACACGGCCCAAACUCCUACGGGAGGCAGCAGUAGGGAAUCUUCCACAAUGGACGCAAGUCUGAUGGAGCAACGCCGCGUGAGUGAAGAAGGCUUUCGGGUCGUAAAACUCUGUUGUUGGAGAAGAAUGGUCGGCAGAGUAACUGUUGUCGGCGUGACGGUAUCCAACCAGAAAGCCACGGCUAACUACGUGCCAGCAGCCGCGGUAAUACGUAGGUGGCAAGCGUUAUCCGGAUUUAUUGGGCGUAAAGCGAGCGCAGGCGGUUUUUUAAGUCUGAUGUGAAAGCCCUCGGCUUAACCGAGGAAGCGCAUCGGAAACUGGGAAACUUGAGUGCAGAAGAGGACAGUGGAACUCCUU